GAGCUAUGAAUAUGUAAUGGGGGUAGGGAACACUCAUUAAGUGGAACUAAUGUGCAGAGAGUUGGGGAGGAGUUAGAGGGUGGCCACCAAGCCCUAUUAAGAAGACCCUGAGUACCAAAAGGUAGCUUGAGAAGGAUUUGCACAAGUUGUUAAAGUAUCUUUCCUUGUGGGCUGCGUCAUCUGACGCUCACACCAGAAGCUUGGCACCCAUAUCUUGUCCUUCUUCUCUCCACCUAACCAGACCCUGCUAUCCAGAUCCAAAGAUGGGAGGCAAACUUGGCAAGAAGAAGGGAUUCAUUGUGGCUGAUAAAUCUGAAGACCACAAGACUGAAGGAGCAGCCACUGAGCUAGAAGAUACUGCCAAAGAAAAUGGGGAGCCUACUGCCCUGACCUCAGAAGUAAAGGUUAUGAAAAAGGACGAAAGUCUCCAGCUCCCUUCUGAAGACCAGACAGAGGGAGACUCUGCAGUAAGCCAGGGAGAUGUCACAAAAGUUGAACCAGUGGUCAGCAUGGGUGCGAAGGCAGAGCUGCCAGAAGGUCAUGAUGCUUUAGGGGCCUCACUACCAGCAGCUUCAAAGCCUGGAAGUGAAGCUCAAGCUUCCCAGCCUCUGACACCCACAACUAAAGAAGAUGCUGGGAAGGCAAGUGCUAUAGCACCUAGUAACUAAUAAACUGGCUCCAGCUUCAGGCUCAUAAUAUAGUAGCAGUCAAGCUGCAACCUAAACAGAUGUUUGUCAACACAACACUAAUUCUAUUAAGGCCUCUGCCUCUGAACAACUGGAGUAGUUAACUGGAUCAAACUAAAAUACUAGUCCAGAGAUUUAAAAACGCAUUAUUUGAGGAAUAAAUGGCAUCUUAAUUGCAGUAACUCUUUUGGUCUAGAAAGGACAAUAUAUUGGCCCAACAAAAUGGGAAUCCAGCUUGUAUGUAUACAACAGGGAAACGCAGAAAUGAACUGCUGUAAAUGCUUUUCAAGAACAUUUCAUCAUUAGCUGUGCAUGGAGAGUGUACAACCUCUCAUUUUUGUAAAGGGUCUGGGAAUAACGUAUCUGGUUUCUGCUCUCUGAGCCCAGUCUAUAGGAUAUCUUAUAGCCCUAACUUCAGACUUUUUAUUCCAGUGGAUGAAGUCUAACUUUUAGAUAACCCUCUCCUGUCUACUUCCCUUCUCUAAAGAUGGCUUGGGGAGUAAGCUAUAACAAUCCUACCUAGACUUAAGUUACUGCAUGUAUGUGGUGCAACUUUGCAUAGUUCAGUCCACUGGUGAAUAAAGUCUUUUGGGAACUACUGCAUUAGUUGUACAUGAUAGUAAGUAAUUGUAUCAUGAAAAUUGUUGAAUAGCUCACUGAAGCUGGUACUAGAAACUGAAUGAAUUCUGCACAUCUCUAUGGUAAGCUGAUUGCAUCAACUGUUUGGCAUUUACACCUCAAUAAACUUUUUUUAUGACCACUGCAA
Molecule: long non-coding RNA, 1452 nt
Organism: Dermochelys coriacea (leatherback sea turtle)
Lineage: Eukaryota; Metazoa; Chordata; Testudines; Dermochelyidae
Exons: 2
Source: RefSeq, a predicted model, not a curated record